This 556-nucleotide ribosomal RNA is filed under the name uncultured fungus. RNAcentral's name for it is "SSU rRNA". It matches the Rfam family "Eukaryotic small subunit ribosomal RNA", at positions 194 to 755 of the family's 1831-position model. Lineage: Eukaryota; Fungi. The record is from RNAcentral.
GGAAGGGGUGUAUUUAUUAGAUAAAAAACCAACGCCCUUCGGGGCUCCUUGGUGAGUCAUAAUAACUUAACGAAUCGCAUGGCCUUGCGCCGGCGAUAGUUCAUUCAAAUUUCUGCCCUAUCAACUUUCGAUGGUAGGAUAGUGGCCUACCAUGGUGGCAACGGGUAACGGGGAAUUAGGGUUCGAUUCCGGAGAGGGAGCCUGAGAAACGGCUACCACAUCCAAGGAAGGCAGCAGGCGCGCAAAUUACCCAAUCCCGAUACGGGGAGGUAGUGACAAUAAAUACUGAUACGGGGCUCUUUUGGGUCUCGUAAUUGGAAUGAGAACAAUUUAAAUCCCUUAACGAGGAACAAUUGGAGGGCAAGUCUGGUGCCAGCAGCCGCGGUAAUUCCAGCUCCAAUAGCGUAUAUUAAAGUUGUUGCAGUUAAAAAGCUCGUAGUUGAACCUUGGGUCUGGCUGGCCGGUCCGCCUCACCGCGAGUACUGGUCCGGCUGGACCUUUCCUUCUGGGGAAUCUCAUGGCCUUCACUGGCUGUGGGGGGAACCAGGACUUUUAC